This 1539-nucleotide long non-coding RNA is filed under the name Heterocephalus glaber (naked mole-rat). RNAcentral describes it as "lncRNA (ENSHGLG00000044312.1)". Lineage: Eukaryota; Metazoa; Chordata; Mammalia; Rodentia; Bathyergidae. The record is from RNAcentral.
GUUUACUCUUAAAUAAUUCGUGUGAGUGUAACCAUGCAGAUUUGUCCUUUUCUUCAGUGUCAAGUUCCCAAGGCUGGCUCACCCCGGGUAGCUCAGUUGGGACUUCUUCCUGUUUCAGGCUGAAACCCCAGACAGUUUGAGAGUGGAAGUCUCUCUGGUCAGGGCGUCCAGGACAGGGCACCCACUUCCAAGCUGACCCCGGCAAUGCUCACACACACACAGACACGGACACACUGCUCACACAUUGGAGGCUGGCUCAUGUUUAGCAAGGGCAGAGCUUAUACUGCUGUGCAGGUGGCGAGCCCAGGGGCUUCUGGGAGCUCCAGUGGCUCAGUUGGGAAAAGCCAGGAGCCACACGUGUGUGCUGUGUCCAGAGGCCGAAGCAGCUCUCUGGGGCUGGAUCGUUGCUCACCCCCAUGAUCCACAGGCUCCGUAGGGGCCACAGCAUGGGGAGGGUGAGCAGGCCACAGCCCACCAUCUCACCAGCCCUGUCCCUGCAGACCACGCACAAGGGCAAGUCCUCCUUCCAGACCUACUCGGACUACCUGCGCUGGGAAAGCUUCCUCCGGCAGCAGCUGCAGGCCUUCCCUGAGGGCUCUGCCCUGCGCCACGGCUUCCAGACCUGCGCAAGCACUGGAAACAGAUCUUCAUGGAGAUCAUAGGCAUCGUCUGCCUGGUGGGUGAGCAUCAUGUACUGGAGUGGGUGGGAAAUAGGCGCCGUGGAAGCCAUCUCCCUGUCCAUCCUGGUGCCGGCUCCUCUGUGGAUUACUGCGUGCACCUGGUGGAGGGCUACCUGCUGGCUGGAGAGAAUCUGCCCCCGCAGCAGGCCGAGGUGAGUGCCCUCUGCCUCCCCCAGGGCGCCACCAUAUCCUAGGCAGGCUGUGUCCUAGGGACUGCGGCCCCGGGACUCACAUGAUGCCAGCGCAGCCAGAGGGGACUGCGGGGCCCACGGCAGAUCUGUGUCCCUGGCCUCAGUCUCCCCAGAGUGCAGUGAGGGAAUGGGCCAGACACACCGUGAAUGCCGGCCCUUGCUGCCAUUCCAGCUGGACCCUGAGGCCACAAACCCCCUUCCGGCUCUCUGGGGCUCAUGUACUCAGAGCGAAAACCAGCUACGGGCCUGGUGGAGUUGUUUGUGGGUUUGCUUUUUCCUACUUUGGGAUUGAAUUGGUAUCAAAACAUUCAUAAACGUGUAAAAAUUAAGUCAGUUAUACAUUUCAUUGCUUUUGCCCCAAAAAACAAAAUAGAGCCAAGUGUGGUGUUCCAUGCCUAUGAUCCCAGCUACCAGGUGGCUGAGGCAGGAGGAUCACAAAUUCAAGGCCAGCCUGCACAACUUAGACCCUGUCUCAAGAUAUAAAAAGGGCUGGAGGUGUGGCUUGGUGGCAGAAUGUUUGCCUAGCAUAGCUGAGGCCCAGGUUUCCAGCCCCAGUACCACCCAACAACGUUCCCGUCAGGACCCCCAUUUCGGCAGAUGCCCCAGCAGCCGGCAGCGCUCGGCACACCUGCACCCUGUGAAGUCGCCCUGCCCUCGUCCACUUGCAG